RNAcentral lists this ribosomal RNA (676 nucleotides) under uncultured Bacilli bacterium. RNAcentral's name for it is "bacterial SSU rRNA". It matches the Rfam family "Bacterial small subunit ribosomal RNA", at positions 76 to 733 of the family's 1533-position model. Lineage: Bacteria; Bacillati; Bacillota; Bacilli. The record is from RNAcentral.
GAGCUUGCUCCCUUAGGUCAGCGGCGGACGGGUGAGUAACACGUGGGUAACCUGCCUGUAAGACUGGGAUAACUCCGGGAAACCGGGGCUAAUACCGGAUGCUUGAUUGAACCGCAUGGUUCCAAUCAUAAAAGGUGGCUUUUAGCUACCACUUACAGAUGGACCCGCGGCGCAUUUGCUAGUUGGUGAGGUAACGGCUCACCAAGGCGACGAUGCGUAGCCGACCUGAGAGGGUGAUCGGCCACACUGGGACUGAGACACGGCCCAGACUCCUACGGGAGGCAGCAGUGGGGAAUCUUCCGCAAUGGACGAAAGUCUGACGGAGCAACGCCGCGUGAGUGAUGAAGGUUUUCGGAUCGUAAAACUCUGUUGUUAGGGAAAGAACAAGUACCGUUCGAAUAGGGCGGCACCUUGACGGUACCUAACCAGAAAGCCACGGCUAACUACGUGCCAGCAGCCGCGGUAAUACGUAGGUGGCAAGCGUUGUCCGGAAUUAUUGGGCGUAAAGCGCGCGCAGGCGGUUUCUUAAGUCUGAUGUGAAAGCCCCCGGCUCAACCGGGGAGGGUCAUUGGAAACUGGGGAACUUGAGUGCAGAAGAGGAGAGUGGAAUUCCACGUGUAGCGGUGAAAUGCGUAGAGAUGUGGAGGAACACCAGUGGCGAAGGCGACUCUCUGGU